UUUAAAAGUGUGAUGCAUUUAAAUGAGUCUUAUAAAUUCAGAUGGUUGAGAAAAAGGAGCAGGAAUAUUCAAAAUGGUCACAUUAGGUUGAACCAAAAGAAAGGUUUAUCUUCUCUUCUCAUUUGGACCUGCAAAAACAGCAUUUUCCUACGGCUCAACCUACACUUUCCCUAGCUGUUCCCACCUCUGCAAAUUUGAUUAGUGUGUCUUCUGUGAGUUCAUCCUGAUCUCCAAGAAGUAUAUUUUACUAGGCAAAGAGUAAUCCAGGAGUGCGCCAAAGUCUAUCUUCCAAGUUCAUCAAUUUAGCAAAAAUAUAUUGAACACCUAGGUAUCAGGCAUUUUGCAAGGCACUAGGGAAGCAGUAGUGAAAAGGUUAGUUUCACUGCUCUUAUGGUGCUUAGAGUAUAGUGGGUGGGGAAGCCAACAUUAAUUACAUAGUAACACAAAUAAACAUACAUUUACCAGAGCCAUUAUGGAAUCCUAACCUCUUUCAUGGUACACCUUUAAUGUAGUUUCUCUAAUGGAUUUCAUUUUGGGAACUAUAUCUCCAUGACUUUAACAGAUGUUAGCCAUAAACAAACCCACAAGAAAUUAAAUACGUUAACUUAAUGAAUAACAUCUUAAAAGUAUUAUUCAUCUGGUUGCCAGAGAGUGCCUGCCAAAAAUGACAAUUUGGGUUUGGCGUAAUUAAUGUUUAGUUGUACUUCCAGGAAAUAAUUUGUCUUGAGUAUUUCUUGUGGCUCUUCCACUAAUAUAUUUUUGUACUAGAAAACCCUAGAAUGUCACACAAAUUGCCUAUGGAAUUUGAAUUUAAGGUAAAAUAGUUUUGGGGAAUAAAUGAUAAGAGGAAGGUAGCCUCAGAGUUGGGAAUCGUAGGCCUGGGCUUGACCUUAAUAAUUAUCUGAUGUAGUUUUAUUCUUGGAGCUGAGUCUCCUUUGAAUUCCAAAAGAAUUGCUUUUUCUCCUGAGAAAUUUUUGAAAUCUCCUGAAGGUAGGAUCGAAUCGGAAUAAGGUGAUUUUAAAAUAUGCUUUUGCUCUUUAAUGGAAUUCAAUGUAGGAAAUUGAUAAUGAAUGGUACUCUUAAAAACUGGUAAGUACAAAGCACCACAAGCUGCUUUUAACAAGCAAGUGUUAAGCAGUUACUAUGUUCUGAGCCCUGUGUUGCAAGAGUAAUCACAACCCCAAAAAGAGAUUUAAUUUUUGGCUUUGUUCUUGUAAGGCAAAACAGGCCUUUGGCCAUAUCUACUUCUGGAUUUUUUUCCCAGCAAAGUUGAAUACUAAUUCAUCAAAACUGAGAUGGAGUAAAACCCUCUGUUAAUCAACAGCACUUGUCUACAGGGUGCCCCGUGAUGGAUAGAAACAAAUGGAAACUUUAUUGAUCUUUUCUGUUAUAAUGAGUUGCAUUUCCUCUUGCAUUUUCACAGCACUUUUCUUGACCUAUAUUUUGUACUUACUUCAUUCACACUGUAGAACAUUAUUUCCUUGUCUCUUUUCACAAAUAGAAUUUGAGCAUCUGGAAGCAAGGAGUUAUUCAUCCUUAUGUUCUUCAAAGCACCUCAACCAGUGCCUGGUACACAGUAAUUAUUCGAGUGCAGCAGGGCAUCAGGCGCCUAGAAGAUGCUCAGUCAUCAGGGAACGUGAAGAGACAACUUUAAGCAGAGGCCUGUGCUAAGUGCUGGGGGCACACAGAUGACUAAAACAGAACACAUUUCCUGACUUCCAAACCCCCAGGUUGGUCAACGUGUGGAUGUAUGAGUGCUACUCUCUGAAAUGGGUAGAGGAGUUACAUUUCAAAAGGAUAGCUGCGCAGAGACUAAAGUCCUCAAAGUUAAAACAUUAGCCAAGAUGACAGGAAGCAGAACACAUAGAAGACAAACAAGAUUCAUAAUAUAAUGGAAAUCCUAAGGGGGAAUGCAGUUAACAAAAGAAGAGUCUGGUAAAGAUAUGCUCUUACAAGAACAAAGAUGGAA
Molecule: long non-coding RNA, 1969 nt
Filed under: Homo sapiens (human)
Lineage: Eukaryota; Metazoa; Chordata; Mammalia; Primates; Hominidae
Description: HSALNT0108892
Source: RNAcentral